AGACCCGAAACCCGGUGAUCUAGCCAUGGGCAGGUUGAAGGUUGGGUAACACUAACUGGAGGACCGAACCGACUAAUGUUGAAAAAUUAGCGGAUGACCUGUGGCUGGGGGUGAAAGGCCAAUCAAACCGGGAGAUAGCUGGUUCUCCCCGAAAGCUAUUUAGGUAGCGCCUCGUGAACUCAUCUCCGGGGGUAGAGCACUGUUUCGGCUAGGGGGCCAUCCCGGCUUACCAACCCGAUGCAAACUGCGAAUACCGGAGAAUGUUAUCACGGGAGACACACGGCGGGUGCUAACGUCCGUCGUGAAGAGGGAAACAACCCAGACCGCCAGCUAAGGUCCCAAAGUCAUGGUUAAGUGGGAAACGAUGUGGGAAGGCCCAGACAGCCAGGAUGUUGGCUUAGAAGCAGCCAUCAUUUAAAGAAAGCGUAAUAGCUCACUGGUCGAGUCGGCCUGCGCGGAAGAUGUAACGGGGCUAAACCAUGCACCGAAGCUGCGGCAGCGACACUUUAGUGUUGUUGGGUAGGGGAGCGUUCUGUAAGCCGUUGAAGGUGUCCUGUGAGGGGUGCUGGAGGUAUCAGAAGUGCGAAUGCUGACAUAAGUAACGAUAAAGCGGGUGAAAAGCCCGCUCGCCGGAAGACCAAGGGUUCCUGUCCAACGUUAAUCGGGGCAGGGUGAGUCGACCCCUAAGGCGAGGCCGAAAGGCGUAGUCGAUGGGAAACGGGUUAAUAUUCCCGUACUUGGUGUUACUGCGAAGGGGGGACGGAGAAGGCUAUGUUGGCCGGGCGACGGUAGUCCCGGUUUAAGCGUGUAGGCUGGUUUUCCAGGCAAAUCCGGAAAAUCAAGGCUGAGGCGUGAUGACGAGGCACCACGGUGCUGAAGCAACAAAUGCCCUGCUUCCAGGAAAAGCCUCUAAGCAUCAGGUAACAUCAAAUCGUACCCCAAACCGACACAGGUGGUCAGGUAGAGAAUACCAAGGCGCUUGAGAGAACUCGGGUGAAGGAACUAGGCAAAAUGGUGCCGUAACUUCGGGAGAAGGCACGCUGACACGUAGGUGAAGUGAUUUACUCAUGGAGCUGAAGUCAGUCGAAGAUACCAGCUGGCUGCAACUGUUUAUUAAAAACACAGCACUGUGCAAACACGAAAGUGGACGUAUACGGUGUGACGCCUGCCCGGUGCCGGAAGGUUAAUUGAUGGGGUCAGCGCAAGCGAAGCUCCUGAUCGAAGCCCCGGUAAACGGCGGCCGUAACUAUAACGGUCCUAAGGUAGCGAAAUUCCUUGUCGGGUAAGUUCCGACCUGCACGAAUGGCGUAAUGAUGGCCAGGCUGUCUCCACCCGAGACUCAGUGAAAUUGAACUCGCUGUGAAGAUGCAGUGUACCCGCGGCAAGACGGAAAGACCCCGUGAACCUUUACUAUAGCUUGACACUGAACAUUGAGCCUUGAUGUGUAGGAUAGGUGGGAGGCUUUGAAGCGUGGACGCCAGUCUGCGUGGAGCCGACCUUGAAAUACCACCCUUUAAUGUUUGAUGUUCUAACGUGGACCCGUAAUCCGGGUUGCGGACAGUGUCUGGUGGGUAGUUUGACUGGGGCGGUCUCCUCCUAAAGAGUAACGGAGGAGCACGAAGGUUGGCUAAUCCUGGUCGGACAUCAGGAGGUUAGUGCAAUGGCAUAAGCCAGCUUGACUGCGAGCGUGACGGCGCGAGCAGGUGCGAAAGCAGGUCAUAGUGAUCCGGUGGUUCUGAAUGGAAGGGCCAUCGCUCAACGGAUAAAAGGUACUCCGGGGAUAACAGGCUGAUACCGCCCAAGAGUUCAUAUCGACGGCGGUGUUUGGCACCUCGAUGUCGGCUCAUCACAUCCUGGGGCUGAAGUAGGUCCCAAGGGUAUGGCUGUUCGCCAUUUAAAGUGGUACGCGAGCUGGGUUUAGAACGUCGUGAGACAGUUCGGUCCCUAUCUGCCGUGGGCGCUGGAAGACUGAGGGGGGCUGCUCCUAGUACGAGAGGACCGGAGUGGACGCAUCACUGGUGUUCGGGUUGUCAUGCCAAUGGCACUGCCCGGUAGCUAAAUGCGGAAAAGAUAAGUGCUGAAAGCAUCUAAGCACGAAACUUGCCCCGAGAUGAGUCUUCCCUGAGACCUUGAGUCUCCUGAAGGAACGUUAAAGACGAUGACGUUGAUAGGC
RNAcentral lists this ribosomal RNA (2173 nucleotides) under Salmonella enterica subsp. diarizonae. Its description in RNAcentral is "partial 23S ribosomal RNA". It matches the Rfam family "Bacterial large subunit ribosomal RNA", at positions 711 to 2861 of the family's 2925-position model. Lineage: Bacteria; Pseudomonadati; Pseudomonadota; Gammaproteobacteria; Enterobacterales; Enterobacteriaceae. The record is from RNAcentral.